Molecule: non-coding RNA, 119 nt
Submitted as: unclassified sequences
Source: Rfam
CGCGCGUCGGGACGGGGACUACACACCAGCCGGCGCGGGAUAGGCCGGGACUGAGGGACUGUCUUGAGAAACCGGCACAGGCGGCGAGGCUAGCACCUGAAGACGAACGGCUGGCGGGC